AGAGUUUGAUCAUGGCUCAGAACGAACGCUGGCGGCGCGCCUAAUACAUGCAAGUCGAGCGAGAAGGUGUAGCAAUACACUUGUAAAGCGGCGCACGGGUGAGGAAUGCAUGGGUAACCUACCCUCGAGUGGGGAAUAACUAGCCGAAAGGUUAGCUAAUACCGCAUACGUUUCCUGGACUUCGGUUCGGGAAAGAAAGCAAUACCGUGGGUAUUGCGCUCAUGGAUGGGCUCAUGUCCUAUCAGCUUGUUGGUGAGGUAAUGGCUCACCAAGGCUUCGACGGGUAGCUGGUCUGAGAGGACGAUCAGCCACACUGGCGCUGCGACACGGGCCAGACUCCUACGGGAGGCAGCAGUAAGGAAUAUUGCGCAAUGGACGAAAGUCUGACGCAGCGACGCCGCGUGGGGGAUGAAGGUCUUCGGAUUGUAAACCCCUUUCGGGAGGGAAGAUGGAGUGGGUAACCACUUGGACGGUACCUCCAGAAGCAGCCACGGCUAACUCGUGCCAGCAGCGCGGUAAUACGAAG
RNAcentral lists this ribosomal RNA (526 nucleotides) under uncultured bacterium. Its description in RNAcentral is "bacterial SSU rRNA". It matches the Rfam family "Bacterial small subunit ribosomal RNA", at positions 8 to 530 of the family's 1533-position model. The record is from RNAcentral.